AUUGAACGCUGGCGGCAGGCCUAACACAUGCCAGUCGAGCGGAUGAAGGGAGCUUGCUCCUGGAUUCAGCGGCGGACGGGUGAGUAAUGCCUAGGAAUCUGCCUGGUAGUGGGGGAUAACGUCCGGAAACGGGCGCUAAUACCGCAUACGUCCUGAGGGAGAAAGUGGGGGAUCUUCGGACCUCACGCUAUCAGAUGAGCCUAGGUCGGAUUAGCUAGUUGGUGGGGUAAAGGCCUACCAAGGCGACGAUCCGUAACUGGUCUGAGAGGAUGAUCAGUCACACUGGAACUGAGACACGGUCCAGACUCCUACGGGAGGCAGCAGUGGGGAAUAUUGGACAAUGGGCGAAAGCCUGAUACAGCCAUGCCGCGUGUGUGAAGAAGGUCUUCGGAUUGUAAAGCACUUUAAGUUGGGAGGAAGGGCAGUAAGUUAAUACCUUGCUGUUUUGACGUUACCAACAGAAUAAGCACCGGCUAACUUCGUG
RNAcentral lists this ribosomal RNA (484 nucleotides) under uncultured bacterium. RNAcentral's name for it is "partial 16S ribosomal RNA". It matches the Rfam family "Bacterial small subunit ribosomal RNA", at positions 30 to 507 of the family's 1533-position model. The record is from RNAcentral.